UACAGAGGUCUCAAGCGUUGUUCGGAUUCAUUGGGCGUAAAGGGUGCGUAGGUGGCGGGGUAAGUCAGGUGUGAAAUCUCACAGCUUAACUGUGAAACUGCAUUGGAUACUAUCCGGCUCGAGGAAUGGAGGGGAGACUGGAAUACUUGGUGUAGCAGUGAAAUGCGUAGAUAUCAAGUGGAACACCAGUGGCGAAGGCGAGUCUCUGGACAUUUCCUGACGCUGAGGCACGAAAGCCAGGGGAGCAAACGGG
This 253-nucleotide ribosomal RNA is filed under the name uncultured bacterium. RNAcentral describes it as "partial 16S ribosomal RNA". It matches the Rfam family "Bacterial small subunit ribosomal RNA", at positions 524 to 776 of the family's 1533-position model. The record is from RNAcentral.